This 372-nucleotide ribosomal RNA is filed under the name Escherichia coli. RNAcentral's name for it is "bacterial SSU rRNA". It matches the Rfam family "Bacterial small subunit ribosomal RNA", at positions 304 to 668 of the family's 1533-position model. Lineage: Bacteria; Pseudomonadati; Pseudomonadota; Gammaproteobacteria; Enterobacterales; Enterobacteriaceae. The record is from RNAcentral.
CCAGCCACACUGGAACUGAGACACGGUCCAGACUCCUACGGGAGGCAGCAGUGGGGAAUAUUGCACAAUGGGCGCAAGCCUGAUGCAGCCAUGCCGCGUGUAUGAAGAAGGCCUUCGGGUUGUAAAGUACUUUCAGCGGGGAGGAAGGGAGUAAAGUUAAUACCUUUGCUCAUUGACGUUACCCGCAGAAGAAGCACCGGCUAACUCCGUGCCAGCAGCCGCGGUAAUACGGAGGGUGCAAGCGUUAAUCGGAAUUACUGGGCGUAAAGCGCACGCAGGCGGUUUGUUAAGUCAGAUGUGAAAUCCCCGGGCUCAACCUGGGAACUGCAUCUGAUACUGGCAAGCUUGAGUCUCGUAGAGGGGGGUAGAAUU